Molecule: non-coding RNA, 25 nt
Filed under: Mus musculus (house mouse)
Lineage: Eukaryota; Metazoa; Chordata; Mammalia; Rodentia; Muridae
Source: RNAcentral
CCAUUUGCCGCAGUUUUAAAGGGAU